Molecule: ribosomal RNA, 492 nt
Filed under: uncultured bacterium
Lineage: Bacteria
Description: partial 16S ribosomal RNA
Rfam family: Bacterial small subunit ribosomal RNA
Source: RNAcentral
AGUGAACGCUGGCGGUAGGCCUAACACAUGCAAGUCGAACGGCAGCACAGUAAGAGCUUGCUCUUACGGGUGGCGAGUGGCGGACGGGUGAGGAAUACAUCGGAAUCUACUUUUUCGUGGGGGAUAACGUAGGGAAACUUACACUAAUACCGCAUACGACCUACGGGUGAAAGCAGGGGAUCUUCGGACCUUGCGCGAUUGGAUGAGCCGAUGUCGGAUUAGCUAGUUGGCGGGGUAAAGGCCCACCAAGGCGACGAUCCGUAGCUGGUCUGAGAGGAUGAUCAGCCACACUGGAACUGAGACACGGUCCAGACUCCUACGGGAGGCAGCAGUGGGGAAUAUUGGACAAUGGGCGCAAGCCUGAUCCAGCCAUACCGCGUGGGUGAAGAAGGCCUUCGGGUUGUAAAGCCCUUUUGUUGGGAAAGAAAAGCAGCAGGUUAAUACCCCGCUGUUCUGACGGUACCCAAAGAAUAAGCACCGGCUAACUUCGUG